UACGGGGGGGGUAAGCGUUGUUCGGAAUUACUGGGCGUAAAGGGCUCGCAGGCGGCCAACUAAGUCAGACGUGAAAUCCCUCAGCUUAACUGGGGAACUGCGUCUGAUACUGGAUGGCUUGGAUUCGGGAGAGGAAUGCGGAAUUCCAGGUGUAGCGGUGAAAUGCGUAGAUAUCUGGAGGAACACCGGUGGCGAAGGCGGCAUUCUGGACCGAUAUUGACGCUGAUGAGCGAAAGCCAGGGGAGCAAACGGG
RNAcentral lists this ribosomal RNA (253 nucleotides) under uncultured bacterium. RNAcentral describes it as "partial 16S ribosomal RNA". It matches the Rfam family "Bacterial small subunit ribosomal RNA", at positions 524 to 776 of the family's 1533-position model. The record is from RNAcentral.